This 361-nucleotide small RNA is filed under the name Arabidopsis thaliana (thale cress). RNAcentral's name for it is "ATSL281910". The record is from RNAcentral. Lineage: Eukaryota; Viridiplantae; Streptophyta; Magnoliopsida; Brassicales; Brassicaceae.
CACAAUUUAAAAUAAAAGUUACUUGAAUACGUAUUUUGUUUAUACUUUUAGUCAUACUAGGUGAUCACCCGCGGUACGCCGCAGUUUUUUCGGACUUUUUUGUAUUGUUUAAUUUAAAUAUAAUUUUUAUUUAUCUAAUCAUUCACUCAUGCAAUAAAUAAUUACUUUUAGUAUUAAAAAUAUUUUUGUCUAACAACAUUUUCAACAAUGCAUCAUACACAUAAUUCAUAAACAACGUUUGUCUUAAACCAAUUUAAUAGAGGGUAGUGUUGGAUUCUAGAAACCUAAGAAUUUUAUGAUGGAGCUCCUUACGUAUUCUCACCCUCAGUGAUUUAUUAUAUAAAUAUCAAUUUAAGAAAAU